UACGGAGGAGGCAAGCGUUAUCCGGAAUUAUUGGGCGUAAAGCGUCCGCAGGUGGCGAUUCAAGUCUGCGGUCAAAGACUGGGGCUUAACCCUGGAAAGGCCGUGGAAACUGAAUAGCUAGAGUGCAGUAGGGGUAGAGGGAAUUCCCGGUGUAGCGGUGAAAUGCGUAGAGCUCGGGAAGAACAUCGGUGGCGAAAGCGCUCUGCUGGACCUUAACUGACACUGAGGGACGAAAGCUAGGGGAGCGAAUGGG
Molecule: ribosomal RNA, 253 nt
Filed under: uncultured bacterium
Lineage: Bacteria
Description: partial 16S ribosomal RNA
Rfam family: Bacterial small subunit ribosomal RNA
Source: RNAcentral